RNA transcript from Choloepus didactylus (southern two-toed sloth), 2903 nucleotides. RefSeq lists it as uncharacterized. The transcript is spliced from 5 exons. NCBI's taxonomy places the organism in Eukaryota, Metazoa, Chordata, Mammalia, Pilosa, Megalonychidae. The record is from RefSeq and is a predicted model, not a curated record.
AGCGGAGAGGCGACCGUCCCCGGACCCGCCGGGCGGCGAGCGGCGGAAACCGUCGGCGGCCCGCGCUUCCUCUCCGCCUUCCCGGGCCGAGCUCCGGCCGGGACCGGUACCCGGCGCGGCUGGGCCCAGGGCCAGGGCCCCCCGCAAGCCCCAGAGGUGCGGCGAGUGAGGGGGGCGCACGAUGCCGCCCGCGUCGCCGGUGGCCGCUAUCUCCCUCCGGGAGCUGGCGGACCUCGCCAUCGGCACCCCGGAGGUGGGCGCCGUCAACUUCACCGCCCUGCACACGCUCAUCGUGGCCAUACUUAAGAACCUCCACCUCCAGGAGACCCUCAUCGACUUCCAGCCCCCGGCCCCCGACCUGCCACCCCGCGCCCCGGCCUCCGCCCAGGCCUCCAUCAGCGUCCCCCAACUGCCCGGGGCCAAAGAGAGGAGCCUGAGCAAGGCGGCCGCCCCCCAGGGGCUGGAGAGCCAGGUGAGGGACCUGGGCGGCCAGGUGCAGGACCUCAACCGGCAGCUCAAGAACAUCGGGAGCCAGGUGCACGGCAUCGUGGCCCACGUGCAGCACCUGACCCAGGCCGGCGGGCUGGACGUGGACGCCCGCGAGUGGCUGGAGAACCGGGACCUGGCCUCACUAAUGCUGGAUAGCCCGUACAGGGGGUCACUGAAAGUCUUGAAAGACUCCUCCGAGACCAGUGUCUCCAAGACCAAGGAGUUGCUCCAGGACGUCAUGGAAGAUGUGAAAACGCUAAAGGAAGCCCACUUAAAGAAAGUCAUGGAGCGGAUUGAAACACUAGAGAAGUUCAUCAAAGACCGGGACUUAUUUCUGGAACAAGUAGGCCGGAAGCUGAGUUUGAUUCCCGGUGGAGAAGAAGCCACCAUGGUCACUUGGGAAGAGCUGGAGCAGGCGAUCACGGACGGCUGGAAGUCCUCGCAGGCGGUGCGCAAACUGGGGGGGCUGGGCAGGGUUCUGGCGGGGCUCCCCAGAACUUCCUUCCUUUUCACAACCACACAGUAUUCCAUUUUACAGUUGUUUAUAAUUUAUUCCAUAAGUUCACCAGGCCCCUGUUAUGGAUAUUCCAAGUAUUUUCCAAUAUCGUAACAAACAGUGCUACAGCAUGACAUUCACAUGUGAACAUACCUGUAGAAUAAAUUCCUAGAAAUGGUAGGUACAUGUGUGAUCCUGCUAGCUCCUGCCAAACUGCCUUCCAUGGAUGUUGUUUCAACUUAGAUUCCCACCAGCAAUGUAGGAGAGAAUUUAUUGCUUGAUAUUCCCAUCGGCACUGUAUGUUGUAGCCAAUUUUUUGAGCUUUGCCACUCUGCUGGGUGGGAAAAUGGUACCUGAGUGCAACUUUAAGCCGCUCUUGGCACUUUUCAAGCCUCUCUUACAGUCUAUCCUACACAGCACGAGUCCCUUCACUCUUGGUGGACAAAGGUGCCCAAGACAACAAGUGAAGGCUCUUUGCUGAUCAAGGUGAUGUUUGCACAUGGACCCGGGUCUGUAUUCCUGAGACAGUGCACAGGGUGACCAAAUCAUAUCCAAAUCCUCCUUCAUCUGAAUAAAACCAACCCGAGAAUUUUCAAAUGGCCCUCAAGGAGGGGAUGAGCUGCCUUUUGGUCUUGACACUGCCCUCCCCCUGGCUUUGUGCCACUGGGUUACUCCAACAAAUCACACAAGCUGCGGCCGAGGGAGUAAGCCUUUUGGCGUCACCCAGUGGCCACCUGGGGAGCGACAAGUAUUAUCUGAGUGCAAGACACCCCUGUAGUCUCCCAAGGCUGUUUUCUGAGUUGGGGGUGCAUCUUGGGGGUAAGCAGCCUCAGAAAGAGCUGCAAGUAGAGCCUGGAAAUAAAAGGAAUGGAAUGGGAGAAGGUGGCCUCUACUUUCACUGCUUUUUGUUUUGUUUUUAGCCAAAGCUGUUUUGCACAUACCGUUAUCAUACUGUUUUUAGUGAGCAGCGUAUUUUCUUGGGGCGGGAGCCCAGGACACCUGCAAGACCUAUAAAUAAGCAUCCACAGGAGCCCCUUUAGACAUUUUUACUUCUCCAGAGGCCCGAAGUCAUCCACCUGUUGACAGUCGCUCCUAAUCAUGAACAACUCCAAAAGCAAGGAGAGUACAUAGAAAUAUGAGUUUCACCACCUUGAGGACGGAUGUUGGCAGAAUUUCACAUAGAGUGAGCUCAUGUGGCGUGUUCCGUGUUUGGUGAACCAGACGCCAGGAAGGAGUUCGCGUUUUGAUCUGGAGGAUGAAGGCUGCAACUGCACGCGAGACGGCCGUGGCGAGGGGCGUUUGGUCUUAAUGCAGAGACUGCUGGUUCCGCCCUGGAAUGUGGGAAUGGACAGACCAGCUGUUAGCAAGCAACUGGAUGGUCCUUCCCAACUGGGUGCAGCCAAAGAUAUUUCUUCUUCUUCUCCUUUUUUUUUUUUUUUAAAGCAAAAAAAGGAUUAAAAGGCAUACUGUCACCAGGAAGACCCCACGCUGAUGCUGUAGCCAAAACUUCUUCAGUUUCCUAUGACCAUUCUGGAUGGAGCUCGAUCCAUUGCAACAAUAGAAACAUCUUCCAGGACCAUUUUACCUGGUCCAGGUAUUUUGAGAUUGGUGUUCUCCUGCAGAAGUAGCAUGCCCAAGGAAACAAUGUUUUCUCUUUGAAGUUGUUUUGCCUGACAGGUUAAAGUAGCAAGCAAAACUGAAAACUCUUAUUUGCCAAUCUCAGUUGAAGGAAAGGCAGCAAGAGGUCAUUAACGUAUUGGAUGAGUUUAAAAUGGCCAGGAUACAAUUUUGCCUUGUAUUGUAUCCCAGGAAUCCUCGUCCAAAUGUCCUGGGGACCUUGAAGGUAAAUAAAAAUUCUCCCUGUGGUAUUAGAAGUCACCAGGGACUAGAAAGAAGGGGAAGUACAUGUUUGGUGGAU